Non-coding RNA from Ictidomys tridecemlineatus (thirteen-lined ground squirrel), 639 nucleotides. The record is from RefSeq and is a predicted model, not a curated record. Lineage: Eukaryota; Metazoa; Chordata; Mammalia; Rodentia; Sciuridae.
GGGAUGUGCUGUAUGAUACUCUCUCACGAUGCUAUGCAGUGGCAGUGAUCCACAGCUCCCAGGCAGCCAUGUGGCCAGGAGGAUAAACAACUGAUACGAUACAGUGUACUGUGUUGCUGAACCAUGAUGUUUGUUUUAAAUGAGAAGAAGAUAGGAAGAGUGAUAGAGCCUUACAGAACCACAAGUAUUCUUGAAGAUCUCUUGGACCCCUGGUUCUUUUUUUCUCUUCAGAUUACAGGGACAGUUUAACUAACUUCAGAAGAUGAUGCUUCAUGUACAUGUUUUAUUUCAAAUAGUUCUUGAGUCUCCUGAAAAUCAUCAGCAGUUGCAGAGUUUCUGGUCUACUUCCUAGUCUAUGAUCCACUUUGAGUCAACAUGUGUACAGGAUAUCAAUGGAAAAGUCAAAUUGAUAAACAGACAUGCUAGAAUUUUCUGACAAGGAUGUUUUUAAAAACUCUGAUAAAGGUGAUAUGAUAAGCAGUUAGGACUAAAGACAGAAUUAAAAUAUCUUGAAAGUAGUGAGAAAUUCUACUUGUAGGAGAAAAUAAAUUCAAAUGACAGUGGAUUUUUCACCAGAAUGUAUGCAGAUUCAAAGCAAGUGGGAUAUUCUAGGGAGAUUAUGAAUUAACUAGAAAGAUG